This is a long non-coding RNA of Fundulus heteroclitus (mummichog), 3551 nucleotides long. RefSeq lists it as uncharacterized. Lineage: Eukaryota; Metazoa; Chordata; Actinopteri; Cyprinodontiformes; Fundulidae. The transcript is spliced from 2 exons. The record is from RefSeq and is a predicted model, not a curated record.
UUAUGUGUCACUUAUAACAACUAAAUGACUAUGCAAUCUUAUAUUUUACUAAUAACAUUCUUGACCAUUUACAAUAUUAUAUUAUACUUAUUACUGAAGUGUUAUUUCUCCUUAUAUCAGAACACAAGCAUGCGAGCAGUUGCAGGUUGCACCCAAUUGUAUCUUGCAGCUGCCUGUGGAAGAUAAAGAAGUUACUCCCAUAACAAUGAAUGCUGUUGUUGUGUAUUGGUUCCCUGCCUAAUAGAUUUCAACUGGUUUGUUCCCCUUCCCUCAGCAGUUGAAAUCCUGUGUAACUAGGGCGUUCCAAUUUUCAAUAAAAAGCCUGGCGAGCGGAGACUGCUUCAGAGUGGUUUGGAGGAUUGUAAACUGAGCAGUCUCCGAGCCCUCUCCUUGCAAGAUAAACAUAACUGAUUCUCUGUGUCUUCUUUGUGCAGGUUGCUGAAUAAGAUGUUUGGUGUUUAAACCUAACAUUAAAUGGUCCUUCGAGCCGGAGUUCAACAUACCUAACGAUCCCAGCAGGUAAAGUGAGGUUCCAGCAAGUUUGUGGCCACAGCACUAAGACCCUUUCCGGGACUGGUCCCUCCUUUACGGGCUGGGAUCCGAAGGUUGAAGAAUUCCAGAGACACAGAGAAUUGAAAACCAGUUAGUUGAACCAGGGGACUGGGUUCUGAUAAAAAGCAUAAAGAAGAAACAUUGGCAUUCACCUAAGUGGGAAGGACCUUUCCAGGUUUUGCUGACCACUGGAACUGCUGUAAAGAUUGCAGAGCGGAGCACGUGGAUUCACUUAACACAUUGCAAAAGAAUCAUUAAACAUGACUAAGGUCACAAUUUCCAUUAUUGCAUUCAAUUUGACUGUAUUAGUCUGCCUCCUAGUGAUCGCUUUGUGGUAUCUGUUGUAGUAUUGUAAUUCUUCAACGAGCCUCAGAGUAAGUCCGUUGUACAAAGGGGGUUGUAUUUCUAGUAUACAAUCGUCUCAAAUCGGUGAAGAUUGUCCACACCUCUGCCGAGGGGUCUUUAGGAAGGAUUUCAAUCUGCAAACAGAAUGCUAACUGAAAAAGGGAAAAGACUUGUGUGGUUGGGGAUAGCCAUCCUAACCGUGGCAGCAGUAUUUAUAUGGCUAUGGGAAGCUCAAAUUCUUCAUGGAACUAAAAGAGCCAGAGAACCAAGAAGAGUGGGCCACUACAAUCCUAAACCUUCCCAAAUUAUGAAACUAUUACAAAAUCCAUGUAAAGAGUCGAAAGAUGGCAAAAGAACUGAAGGGCUAUAUUUUUGUUAUCAGAAUAAUAAGCUCCGGACUGUGAUUAGUUUUAAUAAAGACCAAUUCAAGAUAGGAGGUUACAAAGCUUCUGAUUGGAAAGGUUACAAAUGGUAUUUAGAUGGCACAGGAAUGAAACAGACAGGGCACAAUUGGGAAAAUGUGUUUGAGACAACAGAUCAUACGUGGAGACAAAACACAUACGGUACGAGUAACAUUGCCAGACAGUGGAAAGGAAAGGUGAAACUAACUGAUGCCAGUAAUACUAUUUUCCUGACGAUAAAUACCACCCAUAAACCUUUUGGAAAACCAGCCAGUUUCAGAAAAUUUAAAGAUCCUCCCUGUCAUGGUUUAGCCCUGUGUAUUUGGCGCCCUCACCAGACAGAUCCGUGCAUUACCUUGUUUUUCUGCCCAAACCUGACAACAAUAAUGAUGCCUGAAGUUACUUUAGGACAAAAAACUGUCUCUCCAAUAACUCCACACAUAUAUGUAGAUCCUACUGCAGAUGAUUGGUUCAAAAUUACCACAGGAAUGUCCGGAAAAAGCAAUAAUUGGCUUUUAAUGGUGGAACAAGCUGCUCAUACUGUAUCCACAGGUUGUUUAGUUUGUAUGGGUCCCAGACCCUUGCUACAGGUUGUACCAGCAACAAUGACUCCUGAAUGUCUGACUGAAAUAAUGAAUAACACAGUGCCUUCUGGAAACUGUACAUUCUGGGACACUAUUUACCCUCUAACUACUGAAGAUAAAGGAAAACCGCUGUUUUCAAAACAUGUGGCUCCAGGUAACUUCACAUGUGUAAAUAGAACUGGAUCAGGCAAAAAAUUAGGAAAGUUAAAUGAGACCCAGUGUACAGAAAUACUUUCAGUAAACAUAACUUUCAAACCUGUAGCACGUAGUGACAUCUGGUGGUGGUGUGGUGAUAAUAGAUUAUUUGACAAACUCCUUUAUAACACCAUUGGCCUUUGUGCAUCUGUGACAUUGAUUUUGCCAGUUUCUAUAACUCCACUUACAGUACGGGAAUUAUUGACCGCGGUGAAAAGUGUUUUUCCACACGCUUGGCAAAAAAGAAACAAGAGAGCAGUACAAGGUUGGAGUGAGGACGAUCCAACUUAUAUUGAUAGCAUAGGAGUUCCCCGCGGAGUUCCAGAUGAGUACAAAAUCGUAAAUCAGAUUGCAGCAGGAUUUGAAUCUUUUAUUUGUUGGUGGUGCACUAUAAAUAAAAACGUAGACAGAAUCAACUACAUCCAUUAUAACGUUCAGAGAUUAGAUAAUAAAACAGAACAAGGUUUUGCAGCCAUCCAUGAACAACUGUCAGCUACCUCUAUAAUGGCUUUCCAGAACAGAAUUGCUGUUGAUAUGCUCCUAGCAGAAAAAGGAGGUGUCUGUGCCAUCUUUGGAGAACAGUGUUGUAGCUUUAUUCCAAAUAACACUGCGGCAGAUGGCAGUUUGACAAAGGCCCUAGAAGGCCUCCGUUCCUUAAACAGCAAAAUGAAAGACCAUUCUGGAGUUGAUACAUCUAUGUGGGAUGGCUUUGGAGAAGUGUUUGGAAAAUACAAACAGCUAGUGGUAUCAAUUUUAAUGUCUAUUGCUGUGUUUGCAGCUAUUCUGACCUUAUGUGGAUGUUGCUGUAUUCCGUUUAUAAGAGCAUUGUGCACUAGAGUGAUAACAACAGCCAUACAGCCCGUAAAAGAGGAAAUGUAUGCGCUGCUUGCAACUGAAAAAUCACCAGCUGAUUCUGAAAAUGAAGACGAAGAGACAUCUCUUAAUUUUCCAGACCUGUAUCCUGAUCCCGACGACUGUGACGACCUCUGGGUGUAACCUUUAAGUUGUGAAUGAAUUUAUGGUUGAAAAUCUGACAAGAAGAGACCAAUAAAGGAUGAAACAUAGCUUAAAGUGAAUAAACAGGAGGGUAAUGUUGGAUUUAUUAUAGUUAUUCUACUUUUAAUCUAUAUUCUAGUUAUAUUAUGUUUCACUUAUAACAACUAAAUGACUAUGCAAUCUUAUAUUUUACUAAUAACAUUCUUGACCAUUUACAAUAUUAUAUUAUACUUAUUACUGAAGUGUUAUUUCUCCUUAUAUCAGAACACAAGCAUGCGAGCAGUUGCAGGUUGCACCCAAUUGUAUCUUGCAGCUGCCUGUGGAAGAUAAAGAAGUUACUCCCAUAACAAUGAAUGCUGUUGUUGUGUAUUGGUUCCCUGCCUAAUAGAUUUCAACUGGUUUGUUCCCCUUCCCUCAGCAGUUGAAAUCCUGUGUAACUAGGGCGUUCCAAUUUUCAAUAAAAAGCCUGGCGAGCGGA